This 455-nucleotide ribosomal RNA is filed under the name Escherichia coli. Its description in RNAcentral is "bacterial SSU rRNA". It matches the Rfam family "Bacterial small subunit ribosomal RNA", at positions 1 to 452 of the family's 1533-position model. Lineage: Bacteria; Pseudomonadati; Pseudomonadota; Gammaproteobacteria; Enterobacterales; Enterobacteriaceae. The record is from RNAcentral.
AAAUUGAAGAGUUUGAUCAUGGCUCAGAUUGAACGCUGGCGGCAGGCCUAACACAUGCAAGUCGAACGGUAACAGGAAGCAGCUUGCUGCUUCGCUGACGAGUGGCGGACGGGUGAGUAAUGUCUGGGAAACUGCCUGAUGGAGGGGGAUAACUACUGGAAACGGUAGCUAAUACCGCAUAACGUCGCAAGACCAAAGAGGGGGAUCUUCGGACCUCUUGCCAUCGGAUGUGCCCAGAUGGGAUUAGCUAGUAGGUGGGGUAACGGCUCACCUAGGCGACGAUCCCUAGCUGGUCUGAGAGGAUGACCAGCCACACUGGAACUGAGACACGGUCCAGACUCCUACGGGAGGCAGCAGUGGGGAAUAUUGCACAAUGGGCGCAAGCCUGAUGCAGCCAUGCCGCGUGUAUGAAGAAGGCCUUCGGGUUGUAAAGUACUUUCAGCGGGGAGGAAGGG